RNAcentral lists this ribosomal RNA (324 nucleotides) under uncultured eukaryote. RNAcentral describes it as "partial 18S ribosomal RNA". It matches the Rfam family "Eukaryotic small subunit ribosomal RNA", at positions 1470 to 1796 of the family's 1831-position model. The record is from RNAcentral.
CCCUUAGAUGUUCUAGGCUGCACGCGCGCUACACUGAUGCGAUCAACAAGUUUUUCCUAUGUCGAUAGACACGGGUAAUCUUUUGAACUCGCAUCGUGAUGGGGAUAGAUUAUUGUAAUUAUUAAUCUUCAACGAGGAAUUCCUAGUAGGUGCAAAUCAUCAGUUUGCAUCGAUUACGUCCCUGCCCUUUGUACACACCGCCCGUCGCUGCUACCGAUUGGUUGAUCUGGUGAAUUAUUCGGACUGCCGGCUGAAGGGGUUUCCUCAUCUGCCAGCGGAAAGUCUUGUUAACCCUAUCAACUAGAGGAAGCAGAAGUCGUAACA